AGCGUUUCUAUCUGGCAGUUGUUUUGGGGUUUUGUGUGUUUUUGGUAUUUGCAGCAUUUUGUCUUUGGCAUUUGUUUUGUGGGUUUGUAAGUUUGUGCUUCUGCUUCGUUUCUGUGAUUGCAGCAUUUUUCUGUUGCUGCGUUUUUCUGUUGGAUUUGUUUUAUGUGUUUGUGUGUUUUUGGAUUUACAUCAUUCCCGUUUUAAUCAUUUCAGUCGUUUCAACCCUGUUUGUUGCCUUGUUCACUUGAAAACAACCUUGAACCACUGAAAGAACCCGUUAUCUUUGACAACAACAUCUAAGCAUUGAAGAACGUUUUCUGUAAAAACAGUUAUUAUACACUGAACUCACAAAACUUCGACAACAAGUCGCCUUUGGAUGUCCGUCGGGAAGCGUGGAUUAAAGAGCAGCAGAUAAAGAGACCUUGAGGACAGUCCACCCGGCCGGAUCAGUGGGACCAGUUCCACUACAGUGGGUCCCAGGAGGAGAGGAAGAGAGCCGUAUGGAAGCCAUGCUGUCCAGCUUGGACUGGCUUAUGUCCGGUCUGGACUGCUGACAUCUUUACAGAGAUCUGCUCCAUCAACAUCCUGGAUCAAGCUCUAGAUGGGCGAACUGCGUUUGGAGCCGACAGAGUGCAGGAUGAGAGAAGGUGGACUGCUUAAACGCAGUGAAAGUGGAUGGAUUUUAUGUGAAGAUGAAACCAUAUUAUCAUCACAAUCUUGUUGCUGUUGACAUUCAACCAGACACAAAAGAUGCACUGCAAAAUUAUUUCCUGUGUGUAUGUGUUAUAUAUAUAUAUAAAUAACUGUAUGUUGGUUUAUUUUAUUUUAUUUUAAUAAUUUUCUGUUAUUCUACAAUUAUAUUUUUCAAUGUGUGUAACAUGAAGUAAAUGUAAACUUUUCUUUUGUAAUAAAACCUUGUGCUGUAUAAUGAUUAAAAA
Dicentrarchus labrax (European seabass) is the source of this 938-nucleotide long non-coding RNA. RefSeq lists it as uncharacterized. Lineage: Eukaryota; Metazoa; Chordata; Actinopteri; Moronidae. The record is from RefSeq and is a predicted model, not a curated record. The transcript has 3 exons.